AGUUUGUGAGGAGCGGAUGUAACUCCCCUACCCCCCUAUUUUCGGGGGGAGGGGAGUUUGGCAAAAGGGGAAGGAGACGCCCUGGGGUCGGAUCACAUGAUAGUAUCUUCGCGCCACUUUCGCAAAAACCCUUUUUUUACUGCAGGUUUUGCUCGAGCUCAAAGCACGAGGACGGGAGCGCGUGGUGCGAGCAGCUGGAGCACACCCUGGGCGCGCGGGCGGCUCCCGGACUUCAACGGGAGCCUUAGGUGAGUCUGAAUAGAUGUGUGAGGAUGGAAAAGAAGAGCUGGUGGAAGACAGUUUUGCUCCAGGAAUAGGCCUUGGCCAUGUAAAAGUGCUUA
Long non-coding RNA from Diceros bicornis minor, 341 nucleotides. RefSeq lists it as uncharacterized. The transcript is spliced from 3 exons. Lineage: Eukaryota; Metazoa; Chordata; Mammalia; Perissodactyla; Rhinocerotidae. The record is from RefSeq and is a predicted model, not a curated record.